Molecule: ribosomal RNA, 431 nt
Filed under: uncultured bacterium
Lineage: Bacteria
Description: partial 16S ribosomal RNA
Rfam family: Bacterial small subunit ribosomal RNA
Source: RNAcentral
AACGAACGCUGGCGGCAGGCCUAACACAUGCAAGUCGAGCGCCCUUUCGGGGGAGCGGCGGACGGGUGAGUAACGCGUGGGAAUAUGCCCUUCUCUACGGAAUAGCCUCGGGAAACUGAGAGUAAUACCGUAUACGCCCUGUGGGGGAAAGAUUUAUCGGGGAAGGAUUAGCCCGCGUUGGAUUAGGUAGUUGGUGGGGUAAUGGCCUACCAAGCCGACGAUCCAUAGCUGGUUUGAGAGGAUGAUCAGCCACACUGGGACUGAGACACGGCCCAGACUCCUACGGGAGGCAGCAGUGGGGAAUCUUAGACAAGGGGGGCAACCCUGACCUAGCCAUGCCGCGUGAGUGAUGAAGGCCUUAGGGUUGUAAAGCUCUUUCAGCUGGGAAGAUAAUGACGGUACCAGCAGAAGAAGCCCCGGCUAACUCCGUG